AUACGGGAGGCAGCAGUGGGGAAUUUUGGACAAUGGGGGAAACCCUGAUCCAGCAAUGCCGCGUGAGUGAAGAAGGCCUUCGGGUUGUAAAGCUCUUUUGUCGGGGAAGAAAAACCGAAUACUAAUACUGUUUGGUGAUGACGGUACCCGAAGAAUAAGCACCGGCUAACUACGUGCCAGCAGCCGCGGUAAUACGUAGGGUGCGAGCGUUAAUCGGAAUUACUGGGCGUAAAGCGUGCGCAGGCGGUUUGGUAAGACAAAUGUGAAAUCCCCGGGCUUAACCUGGGGAUGGCAUAUGUGACUGCCCGGCUAGAGUAUGUCAGAGGGGGGUAGAAUUCCACGUGCAGCAGUGAAAUGCGUAGAGAUGUGGAGGAAUACCGAUGGCGAAGGCAGCCCCCUGGGAUAACACUGACGCUCAUGCACGAAAGUGUGGGGAGCAAACAGGAUUAGAUACCCCUGUAGUCCC
RNAcentral lists this ribosomal RNA (466 nucleotides) under uncultured bacterium. RNAcentral's name for it is "bacterial SSU rRNA". It matches the Rfam family "Bacterial small subunit ribosomal RNA", at positions 339 to 797 of the family's 1533-position model. The record is from RNAcentral.